AUUGAACGCUGGCGGCAGGCUUAACACAUGCAAGUCGAGCGGGGGAAGGUAGCUUGCUACCGGACCUAGCGGCGGACGGGUGAGUAAUGCUUAGGAAUCUGCCUAUUAGUGGGGGACAACAUCUCGAAAGGGAUGCUAAUACCGCAUACGUCCUACGGGAGAAAGCAGGGGAUCUUCGGACCUUGCGCUAAUAGAUGAGCCUAAGUCGGAUUAGCUAGUUGGUGGGGUAAAGGCCUACCAAGGCGACGAUCUGUAGCGGGUCUGAGAGGAUGAUCCGCCAAACUGGGACUGGGACACGGCCCAGACUCCUACGGGAGGCAGCAGUGGGGAAUAUUGGACAAUGGGGGGAACCCUGAUCCAGCCAUGCCGCGUGUGUGAAGAAGGCCUUAUGGUUGUAAAGCACUUUAAGCGAGGAGGAGGCUACUUUAGUUAAUACCUAGAGAUAGUGGACGUUACUCGCAGAAUAAGCACCGGCUAACUCUGUGCCAGCAGCCGCCGUAA
RNAcentral lists this ribosomal RNA (501 nucleotides) under uncultured bacterium. Its description in RNAcentral is "partial 16S ribosomal RNA". It matches the Rfam family "Bacterial small subunit ribosomal RNA", at positions 30 to 523 of the family's 1533-position model. The record is from RNAcentral.